GAUGAACGCUGGCGGCGUGCCUAAUACAUGCAAGUCGAGCGAACGGACGAGAAGCUUGCUUUUCUGAUGUUAGCGGCGGACGGGUGAGUAACACGUGGAUAACCUACCUAUAAGACUGGGAUAACUUCGGGAAACCGGAGCUAAUACCGGAUAAUAUUUUGAACCGCAUGGUUCAAUAGUGAAAGACGGUCUUGCUGUCACUUAUAGAUGGAUCCGCGCUGCAUUAGCUAGUUGGUAAGGUAACGGCUUACCAAGGCAACGAUGCAUAGCCGACCUGAGAGGGUGAUCGGCCACCCUGGAACUGAGCCACGGUCCAGACUCCUACGGGAGGCAGCAGUAGGGAAUCUUCCGCAAUGGGCGAAAGCCUGACGGAGCAACGCGGCGUGAGUGAUGAAGGUCUUCGGAUCGUAAAACUCUGUUAUUAGGGAAGAACAUAUGUGUAAGUAACUGUGCACAUCUUGACGGUACCUAAUCAGAAAGCCACGGCUAACUACGUG
RNAcentral lists this ribosomal RNA (497 nucleotides) under uncultured bacterium. Its description in RNAcentral is "partial 16S ribosomal RNA". It matches the Rfam family "Bacterial small subunit ribosomal RNA", at positions 28 to 507 of the family's 1533-position model. The record is from RNAcentral.